AAGACAAUACUUUUGGGCUCAUUUCUAUAGGUGGUUACCAGAGAAAUUUUUCAGAGCCUGUAGAGUUCUGAGAACCAAGUAGAGGCACCACCUUCUCUCUUGAGAGAGAGAAGCUGGCUUUGUUGUUGCUUAGCCACAAGUGCCAUUGCUAUUGAGGACCACUGUCCUUGGGGAGGGGGAAGUGAGGGGAGGGGAGGGUGGCAUCUGAAUGCC
Molecule: small nucleolar RNA, 213 nt
Organism: Apodemus sylvaticus (European woodmouse)
Lineage: Eukaryota; Metazoa; Chordata; Mammalia; Rodentia; Muridae
Product: small nucleolar RNA U3
Exons: 1
Source: RefSeq, a predicted model, not a curated record